This is a long non-coding RNA of Cyprinus carpio carpio, 7596 nucleotides long. NCBI's taxonomy places the organism in Eukaryota, Metazoa, Chordata, Actinopteri, Cypriniformes, Cyprinidae. The record is from Ensembl.
CUCAGAUAUUCAGUAAAGCUGCCUUAAAGCAAACACACAUAAUUACAGCUGAGAGCCCUGUAUUGGAGUGUGUGAUUGUAUAUUGCUUGUGUAGAGUGUCAAGCGUGCGUGCUGCACAUUGUGCCUGGAGAGAUUGAUGUUUUGUCAUCCACCUGCUUCUAAGCUGUAAAGGCAAGCGCAGCAAAGGCAAACCUACCCAGCUUCAAAAUCCAAACAAAGAAAUCUUAGUGGGCUGUUUACAUAUCUGUGGAAGGAUAUCUGGGCUUGUGUUGACGGGGUGCUAGAGUGGUUGAGAGAUCAGUCCCCGCACAAUGGACGAGUGGGAAAUCAAAGACUGGAAUGCUGGGGAAACUGACAGAGGGGUGAGCUCUGGAAAGGAGGACGGAUACUUCCUGUUCCUGCUGGAGUGACCCGCAGGUCUGAGGAGGAGUGAGGGAGAGGAAGGCAGAGAAAGCGAGUUUUCUUUGAAGUACCCUGUGAAACCUGCUGGUGUAAACAUACCUCUGAUUGGGACUCACUGAUGUAAUGGACAAACAAGCACAAAAUGUGUCGAUAUCCAGAUCAAAUCUCCCAGAAGCUCUAGUGGUGUUGGUUGUGUUCUGGAAGACCUGAGGGACACAACGGCUACCAUGCACAUCUGCAUCCUGUAUGUGGCUGAGGGGGGUUCCCAGCUGAACUUGGCUGAGGUCAGUGUCUGGUCAAAUGGAGUCGGGCCUGUGUGUCUGUGGGGGUGCAGAUGAAGUGGUCAGCGGUGUGACAGUUAGCGGGGAUUCUGACAGCCCCAGGUCCAGUGUGGAUUAGAGAGCCUCACGGAUUUAUGAAGAAUCCAGAAAUGUGUGUCAUCAUUAUGGAAAAAGGGCGACACAGAUCCACUGAUUGGUGGAGUUUGGAUCAGAGCACAGGAAGAAGUCAAGCUAAGCAGUCACGAGCAAGAGAACAUUCGGCUCUUCUCUCAUCCGCCACAUACUUGACCCACAGUAACUCCGCUUUGACAGAGCAUCACAGCUUUUCUGUCUUUGUUGAAGAAGGCUGACAGAAGCUCGCUUCUGGUUACGUUUUGCGAACUGUCACUCUUCCUGAAGAUAACACCCCUGCACAGAGGCUUGGAAAUGCCAAGGUGUCGAUGUGUGCGAUGCCAGGAAAGGUCAGGAGAUGAUUUACUGAACAUUUAUGGAGGCUUUAUCUUCAGUCCUUGUCACCAAGUCGGGCGAUGCUUCAUAGUGGGUCGCCAAACAUACGUGGAAAAAGAGAGAGCGGGACAACGCCACAACCCCUGAGUUCCGCAAUGACACAGUCUUUAACCAGUCCAACUCUUGGCAGGUACAGAAUACUAAAGGACCAUUUUAUUUCUAAAUGAGUCUGGAUGGCGCACCACAAAUACUGGAAAUGCUACUGCCCUUUCAUUUUAAAUGGCUAUCGGGUUCAUCCUACACAUAAAACCCAUCACAGAAAAUGAAUAUAAGCGGUAGGAGAAGAGACUGGAGAUGUGAACUGUCCCUCUGGAACGGGCUGCCAUUAAGUUUACUAAAAAUGUCUGAUGGUUUCACCCAGACAGUUAGGAGAGCUGUGUCUAAACGGGAUCCAGAUCUCUGCUUACUAAUUCCUGUGAUCCACCUGCUCUGAAGCCCAGUCGUUGUGGCCGAGUGUUCUGCACUACAGAUGGCGCUGGAUGAGGGAAGCUGGGUCAUGCUGAAGGACUGACCACAGUGCUUCAUCAUACCGAGGGAAAGUGACCCCAAAGGUCACAGCACACACACAGGCUUAAUUUUAGAGCAAUUAAUCUCCUCUCAAGAGAGUUUUAUGUGUGAGCAUGUGUGUGGGUGUGUCGCUGUGCUGUAGUUAGAGCCGGCCGUCAGCUGUCCGGCCAAGGUGGAGGCCCAACCAUCUUAUCGUCCAGGAGAAGCUUAAUAUGAGGAGAUUAGAUGGCACGGAGGAGAUUACUGCUUGGCCUUUAAUGCAUCGUUCUCUUACCUAACAGGAACCUGAUCUAAAUCCACCACAGGGUAACAAGGCCAUCACUCUGUCCAACAUACACAAGAGGACAUGUAACGUACACACACAUAGAUACACAACAGAUGAUGAGUGGGUGGCAAAAAAACAAACAAAAAAAAGCUCAGAUGAAACAGCAAUGGAAAUGAAAGAGGUGGAGCUUUCAGUGAGAGAGAGUGAAAGAGUGAGGUGGGAUGGAAGAGGUGUUCCCCAUAUAAAAGCCUCUUCACUGGUUUGGAAAAUUAGCUGGGCCCUGUGGUCUACUGGAGCCUUUUAUUUAUUGAUGUAAAGAAAGAUAACCACGCCACCUUCCGUAUUCGCUCCAUUUGCAUGAGCGAGGGAAGAUUAGGAGUGAAAAUCAAACCAAAUAAAUAAAUCCCUCUUUUUCCCUCUCUUCACCUCCCCUUCCCUUCCCAGAUACACACUCAUCCCUCUGCCAUAAUAAACGUUUUGCAAAAAGUCGCAACAAAGUUUAUUUUUCAGACAAUCACUGCCAGACUAUUCAGUGGAUGUAUGCUAUAUUAAUCUCAAAGCUCAAAGAACUUUGUUUAUUGGCUGCAAAGGUUGGAAAGUAAAAGCUGCCCAACGUAACCAUCAAAUUAAACUGGUAUAAACAACCGUGCUGUAAAUGCACGCUUGUAUAUGUGAGUGGUGUACAGUAUUUAAGAAUAGCAGUGUUUUAGCAGCUUAACAUCUUCUGCAGAAUUUUGAAAGUCACGUAUCCAUUCACGAGUCUCACACUGAUGUCUAAAUGGGGUCCAGUCUCAGAGAAGUGUAAAGCAGAAGGGAAUCUAAUCAGUUUUGCUUGCUCUGAAUGCCGGUUUGAAUGUGUUUGAGUAACAGUGCUAAAUCCACCUUCUAAUGUCUCUUCAUCACAUUGGUUUCUCACUUUCUCCUGAGCAGGAAACCAAUAAAUAUUUUAGCACUAACUGAAUUAAGAAUGCCCUUUAAAUUCCAAUUUAAUUCUGGAUUUGAAUUAAGGUAGCAAACAAGAUGCAAAAUUGCAAUUUCAAUUUGAAUAGAAGGCAGUAUAGAAUUAAAUGAAUUUAAGUUCAAAGAAAUUCUUGUUGCUAGUGUUAUUUAACAUUAUUUAUAUACAUAAUAUAAAUUGAGUUUAAUUUUAAUAUGUUGGUACUUAUUUCAUUUGACAGGGCAACAUUUGUAAUUUUUGUUAAAGAUUUGUUUUUUCAUAUAAUAUUUAUACUUUAUUGCAUUUCAACUAAACUUCAAAUAGGAAAAAAACUAUUCUAAUAUUGUAUUGGUGUAAUUUUUUACUAGAAAAUAAAAGUUUGCAAAGACACUUUAAAUAUUGGGUUGACAAAGCUGUUGUAAAGUUUAAAAAAUUCUAAAAAGCAUUGGAAUUUGAAGGCCUAAUAUAUAGAAUAGAUGGAAGGACAGAGAGCAUUUCCAAGAAUUUUGAUUGAUUGAUUGAUUGAUUGAUUGAUUGAUUGAUUGAUUGAUUGAUUGAUUGAUUGAUUGAUCAUUAAAUUCCUAUCAUUCCAUUUCAAAUUCCAUGUCAACUUUCUAUGGGGUUUGGCUAAUUUGAUUCAAAUUUAAUCUCAUGAAUUCUUUAAUUUUGUACAACCCUUACAUGGACAUCCAGAGAAGAGGGGCUUUAAAAAUUAGGCCACUAAUGCUUUCAUCCACCCUUAUGUGUGGAUGAAAAGAGGCUCUGAGUGUGUAUGUGUGUGCCGGGAUGCAAGAGUACACUGCUCCUCCUCCAGGAUUCCUCUUCGGGGCAGAAAAUGGGCAUGUGCUUGUGGUCCAGUGAAGCCCAGCCUGAGCUCAGCUCUUGCACCUCUGCCCCGCUCUGCCUCCAGAUGUGGCCUCAGCGGCUUUUUCUCGUGUGGAUUGAAUUCAGCAUUAUGUCUUUGCACAGUGUCCUCUUCUAUUUUCUCCUCUCCGUUCUUCUUUGCUGUCCUCUCCUCAUUGUUCUUUCAGCUCAUCCGGCUAAUGAACCAGUACAAGUACAAAGUACAUUUUAUAAGAGAGAUAGCCAAAUAUUCACAGGGGACAUAAAACCCCACAUAACAACAGCACAGAUGGAGCAGAAGCACAUGACACACAGCCCCCGUUCAGAAAAAAACAAAAAAAAUAUGAUGAUUGUCUAUAUCAAACAGCCUCUUUUUCUACCUACUAUUACUGUCUCUUUUUGUCUUCUCUUGUCCACCUGUGUCCCAGCAGCAAUUAAGGACCCUGGUGGAUCCAAUCAAGGAAUCACACGAAUGGCUGAAUAUGGUGGACUUGUGAAAGAUCAGGGCAUUCAGGCUGGUGACAUUCCUCCUGGCGAGCAGAUCCAUCCUGGGCCGGGGGUGAAAAAUGCAGCACCGCGCUACUGCUCAGCUGCAGAUGAAUGGAGCUAUCUGUCUUGUCACGAGGGGUCGGCUGGAGAGGUUACAGCCCAACUGUACCUGGUCUCUGAUGCUGAUGCCUGCACGCCGCUUCCCUUUACAAGAGAAGAAACAUAAAAACAGAAGAGAGGGAGAGACAGAGAGAGGGAGAAACAAAUCCUGCCCCAUCAAGCACUUCUUCAGUCCCUCCAGAGCCCAUCUCACUUCCCAUCAUCCCGAAGUCCUGCUGCCCUGAGCGCAGGCUUUGACACAUCUAUAUGUUUUUCCUUCUGACCUUUCAACGUCCUUUCUGUCAGUGCCUGUAAACCAUAAGCUGAUGUAUGAGGGCAAUUUUUAGCGGUGCCACUUGUAUCUGAGUGAUUGCGCACACUUUACAUUUGGGGGGUCUGCCACCCUGCCACCUCCUCAACAUCUCUUUAUUUGCUUUGCUUGAUAUUGAGGCAGAGAAACUGAGGGGAAGGAAUAAAAAGAGUGGAUGGGGAGGGGACGGUGGAGCCCAUUCAACCUCUGGGCAACAGGUCUGUACUUUAUCAGUCCAGCGAGCUGAGCCCUCAGGCCAGGCCUGACCAAUCACUCCUUGGAAACAGGUACUUGAACAAACAUCAACAUCAGUGAGACAGACUCCUGUACAAAGGGUUUCAGUGGAAUACUGACUUUCACUGGAAUUCUGAUCUCACAUAUUAAUGUCUAAUCCAAAUACCUGUCAUUUCAAACAGGGGGCCUAUUUUAAAAUAUUAUUUAAAACUAUACAAGUAUCCCAAUGAUACUAAAAUGACACUGAUACAAUGGCAAUAAAAAAGUGAGGAAACAACAUGACUUUAACUGAAUAAAAAAUUAUAUUUUUUUCUCAUACAUUAUAAAUGUAAUUAUAUAUGUAUUUUGAAGGGAGUCCCUCACAAGGGCAUCAUCAUAUUUGUGGGUCUUUGGUAUUAAAAACUUUAAAAACCUGCUCAAAUCUGAUUGAAUGAGUGUUGUAAGACUGUACAAUAUUUUGUCACACUUUACUUUAGUUCUCUUGUUUUAACAUUGAUCUGUAACACAGUAGCUUAAUCUGUCAUGUCUGUUAAUAAAUUUUGCCAUUGCUCUCAGAAAUGUUCAAAUUCUUAUGUGUCUACAAUCUCCAAGCAGUGUCUACCAUAAUCCAAAGAAUUAACGGUGCUGUUCAUGUCCUGUGGUAGAUGCUGCAGAAAACUUGUGUGCACAAGCAUCACAGUGUCCCAUUAUCCUCGGUGUUCGCCACUGACAACAUUUUCUGGUGACAUAUGUUUACUGUCACAUCCUGAACACUUGGGUCAGCUGCCUCUCUACUCUUCUCAUCACAAACUCUGACAGCCUAACAAAGCAGUCAUUAGACAGCCUCUCAGACACGACUAGCACACCCCCUUUGCUUUAGGGAAAACUAGCAUAAUGAAAUAAAAUGCAGAGAGGACUUAGCAUCCGCCCAAAACAAACACGCACGAAACAAAACCUCCCUCAUCUCUUUCAGAUUUUCUUUUUUCUUUCCCUCCUCUGGUUCUUGAUCUCCAUAUUUAGCAUUAUGACAUUUUAAUUUGUGCAUCUUCAAAAUAGCACUGUCAGUGGUAUAAAUAUGGAGUACCACUCCUGUGAGAAAAGCCUUUAUACUUUAGUAGGUUAAAACUAAUACAAACAAAACUGGAAUUAUUAAUUAUAAAAAAGGAGAGAGAGGGAAAGAGAGAGAACGAGAGAGACGAAAUCCCCAGAUUUCAAUAUUAUUUGCAUUUCGAUUUUGAGCCUGAUUUUGAGCAACUUGACUGUUUUCCCUCCUCUUGCUUUCUCUCUAAUAUCUUGCAGGAUCAAAGGCUUUCAUUAGGUUUAACUCCUCCAAGCAUUGUUUGCCUCCCAGGACUACAACACAGUUCCCUCAGUGUGCCAGAUUCAGAAGAAUAAAGAAUUAGUUAUUCCUGGACUAAUUUGACAUCAAACAGUGGAGAGGAAGAUAAAAGUGACAAUGGUGACCGGGGAACAUUGGCCAUGUGUUUCCACAGGCCCCCAGGGCAGUCAACCUCACACUCUCGCACCUAGAAAAUACCUUUUAGAUGAAGAUGAUGGCUAAUAAUAGUAAUAAUAAUAAUAUAUAUGUAAUAAUAAUAAUAAUUGUUAUUAUUCCUGGUUAUGUUCAUGAUUGGUUGGUGUUGAGUGUUUGCACAUGUUAGUGUGAGUCACUGAUGAAUUAGUGUGGCAUUUUGAGAAAAUCAAGAUAAUUCCUGUUAAAUUUUUGUGUGUUACAUAGAGAAUUGUGUAUUUUGUUUUGAAAAAAGUGUUUAAUGGAAUUGAAAACUGGGUCAAAAGCCAAUAAUUAGUGUAUGGCUUUACAGAUUUGGUGUGUGGUUCUGGUGUUUAAGUGUCAGGUUUCAUAAAUUGUGUGACAAGUAAAGAUUUUGUGUGUAAGCAAUUUAAAAAAGAAAGAAAGAAAGAAAAGAAAAAACCUGCAGUUCGUUAAUCUAGGGAUUUAUAUGUCUGUGUGUGUGUGUGUGUGUGUUUGUGUGUGUGUGUGUGUGUAUCUAUAUAUAUAUAUAUAUAUAUAUAUAUAUAUAUAUAUAUAUAUAUAUAUAUAUAUAUAUAUAUAUAUAUAUAUAUAUAUAUUGAUAGUAGUAGUAGUAAUAGCCAUUAACAGCCAUAUUUUCAGUCAAAGAAAUAUCUCACAUUUAUAGUUUAUUUCCAUCCUUUUUAAUAUUAAAUUCCCGCCAACUCCCAGAGAGUAAUGAAUUAAGAUAUCUUAUGUGUCCAGGAUAUACUGUGGAUAUCUCUGUGGAAUCGCACCUUUAUUACAGCUGGCUGGAUGAAAUCUUCAUUCAGCUCCCUUCAUUCACUUAGCUGCCAUUCUUACAGUUCUAUAAAAUAAUUAUAUUCUAGAAUUACAGGUUUUUAAUAUAAGGCAUAUGCAAUUACUCAUUGAGAUAAGUUGUCUUAAUAUGAUCUGUCUGCUUUGAAUAACUUGGUUUAUGCAUUUGAUCCUGCUGAUGAGUGUGUGUGUGUGUGUGUGUGUGUGUGUGUGUGUGUGUGUGUGUGUGUGUGUGUGUGUGUGUGUGUGUGUGUGUGUGUGUGUGUGUGUGUGUGUGUGUGUGUGUGUGUGUCUAAGGCCACAGCUGAGGAAGUAGAGCACAUGUUAACAGAGGUGUGUGUCCUGAGGAUAGUUUUUAGGACCCAGGUCUCCUUCAAACUCACCUCAGCCUUUACCUUCCUCUGAGCAAAACACACACACGAAACUGUAUACACACAGACACACGCACACAGG